AAGGGAGACCUAAUUCAGGUAGGAGACGAAAAAAAAGUAGUCCCAACCAAGAAUCAAUCCCAAAAGGUCGGAGCGAGGCGAAAUUGGCUUUCAAACUAGGUUCUGGGUUCACACAAGACCUGAAUCAGGAACAAGGGCUAUUAGCUCAGGUGGUUAGAGCGCACCCCUGAUAAGGGUGAGGUCCCUGGUUCGAGUCCAGGAUGGCCCACCUGCACAGGUGGCAAAAACAAGAGAAGCGAGGAAUCAGCACCUUAUCUUAUCUAUAUAUAUAUAGGAGAGAAUGCUGGCUCUGAGUAAAGAGUCCAGAGGAACCUUGAAAACUGCAUAGAGCUAGGUGAAAAAGCCAAAAAAGAAGACCGCCUCAA
This 365-nucleotide transfer RNA is filed under the name uncultured Microcystis sp. Its description in RNAcentral is "partial miscellaneous RNA". The stretch from base 135 to 208 matches the Rfam family "tRNA". The record is from RNAcentral. Lineage: Bacteria; Bacillati; Cyanobacteriota; Cyanophyceae; Chroococcales; Microcystaceae.